CAGCCGCCGCGGUAAUACGGAGGGGGCUAGCGUUGUUCGGAAUUACUGGGCGUAAAGCGCACGUAGGCGGCUUGGUAAGUUAGAGGUGAAAGCCUGGAGCUCAACUCCAGAAUUGCCUUUAAGACUGCCGAGCUAGCAGGUGAGAGAGGUAAGUGGAAUUCCGAGUGUAGAGGUGAAAUUCGUAGAUAUUCGGAAGAACACCAGUGGCGAAGGCGGCUUACUGGCUCAUACUGGACGCUGAGGUGCGAAAGCGUGGGGAGCAAACAGGAUUAGAGACCCGCGUAGUCCCUGUCUCUUAUAC
This 301-nucleotide ribosomal RNA is filed under the name uncultured bacterium. RNAcentral describes it as "partial 16S ribosomal RNA". It matches the Rfam family "Bacterial small subunit ribosomal RNA", at positions 509 to 807 of the family's 1533-position model. The record is from RNAcentral.